Molecule: ribosomal RNA, 253 nt
Filed under: uncultured bacterium
Lineage: Bacteria
Description: partial 16S ribosomal RNA
Rfam family: Bacterial small subunit ribosomal RNA
Source: RNAcentral
UACGGAGGGGGCUAGCGUUGUUCGGAAUUACUGGGCGUAAAGCGCGCGUAGGCGGCUUAGCAAGUUAGAGGUGAAAGCCCGGAGCUUAACUCCGGAAUUGCCUUUAAAACUGCAAAGCUAGAAUCAUGGAGAGGUGAGUGGAAUUCCGAGUGUAGAGGUGAAAUUCGUAGAUAUUCGGAAGAACACCAGUGGCGAAGGCGACUCUCUGGGCAAUUCCUGACACUGAGGCACGAAGGCCAGGGGAGCAAACGGG